Molecule: ribosomal RNA, 374 nt
Filed under: Bacteroidales bacterium
Lineage: Bacteria; Pseudomonadati; Bacteroidota; Bacteroidia; Bacteroidales
Description: partial 23S ribosomal RNA
Rfam family: Bacterial large subunit ribosomal RNA
Source: RNAcentral
AGCGAAGCGAAGAAGAGCGGAUGGAGGAUGCCUAGGCUUUUGGAGGCGAGGAAGGACGUGGAAAGCUGCGAAAAGCCCCGGGGAACCGCAAACAGGUAUUGAUCCGGGGAUGUCCGAAUGGGGAAACCCAGCAACUUGAAGAGUUGCUACCUAAGUGGAGUCAACGCAGGGAACUGAAACAUCUUAGUACCUGCAGGAAAAGAAAGAAACGAUCGAUUUCCCGAGUAGUGGCGAGCGAAACGGAAAGAGCCCAAACCGUGGUUGUUACGGCAACGGCGGGGUUGUAGGACUGCGAGAAGCGAACAUCAGCGAACCGGAACGAUCUGGAAAGUUCGUCCGAAGAGGGUGACAGGCCCGUACGGGUAAGUGCGAUG